RNAcentral lists this ribosomal RNA (301 nucleotides) under uncultured bacterium. Its description in RNAcentral is "partial 16S ribosomal RNA". It matches the Rfam family "Bacterial small subunit ribosomal RNA", at positions 509 to 807 of the family's 1533-position model. The record is from RNAcentral.
CAGUAGCCGCGGUAAUACGUAGGUGGCAAGCGUUGUCUGGAAUUAUUGGGCGUAAAGGGCUCGCAGGCGGUUUCUUAAGUCUGAUGUGAAAGCCCCCGGCUCAACCGGGGAGGGUCAUUGGAAACUGGGAAACUUGAGUGCAGAAGAGGAGAGCGGAAUUCCACGUGUAGCGGUGAAAUGCGUAGAGAUGUGGAGGAACACCAGUGGCGAAGGCGACUCUCUGGUCUGUAACUGACGCUGAGGAGCGAAAGCGUGGGGAGCGAACAGGAUUAGAUACCCCUGUAGUCCCUGUCUCUUAUAC